RNAcentral lists this ribosomal RNA (226 nucleotides) under uncultured fungus. Its description in RNAcentral is "partial small subunit ribosomal RNA". The stretch from base 105 to 226 matches the Rfam family "Eukaryotic small subunit ribosomal RNA", at positions 741 to 864 of the family's 1831-position model. Lineage: Eukaryota; Fungi. The record is from RNAcentral.
GGCGAACCGUUGCGGCCCGUGGUCGUUUCGGCCGUGUGUGCCGUGCCGUGUUUGUCAUCCUUCCAGAGAGCUGCGUCUACCAUUCACUUGGCCGGACGUACGCGAUCUGGAUCUAUUACUUUGAAAAAAUUAGAGUGUUUAAAGCAGGCUUUCGCUAUGAAUACAUUAGCAUGGAAUAAUAAUUUAGGACUUCGGUCCUAUUUUGUUGGUUUCUAGGACUGAAGUA